GAUGAACGCUGGCGGCGUGCCUAAUACAUGCAAGUCGAGCGAACGGACGAGAAGCUUGCUUCCCUGAUGUUAGCGGCGGACGGGUGAGUAACACGUGGAUAACCAACCUAUAAGACGGGGAUAACUACGGGAAACCGGAGCUAAUAACGGAUAAUAUUUUGAACCGCAUGGUUCAAAAGUGAAAGACGGCCUUGCUGUCAAUUAGAGACGGACCCGAGUUGGAUUAGCUAGUUGGUAAGGGAACGGCCUACCAAGGCAACGAUGCAUAGCCGACCUGAGAGCGUGAACGGCCACACUGGAUCUGAGACACGGUCCUGACUCCUACGGGAGGCAGCAGUCGGGAAUCUUCCACAAUGGGCGAGAGCCUGACGUAGCAAUGCCGCGUGAGUGAAGAAGGACUUCGGGUCGUAGAACUCUGUUAUUGGGGAAGAACAUAUGCAGAAGUAACUGUGCGCAUCUUGACGGUACCCAAUCAAAAAGCCCCGGCUAACUACGUG
Molecule: ribosomal RNA, 497 nt
Filed under: uncultured bacterium
Lineage: Bacteria
Description: partial 16S ribosomal RNA
Rfam family: Bacterial small subunit ribosomal RNA
Source: RNAcentral